This 127-nucleotide small nucleolar RNA is filed under the name Mola mola (ocean sunfish). RNAcentral's name for it is "Small nucleolar RNA SNORA71 (ENSMMOG00000018387.1)". It matches the Rfam family "Small nucleolar RNA SNORA71". From Rfam's summary of the family: The members of this family belong to the H/ACA class of snoRNAs which bind a number of proteins (including dyskerin, Gar1p and Nop10p) to form snoRNP complexes. The record is from Rfam by way of RNAcentral. Lineage: Eukaryota; Metazoa; Chordata; Actinopteri; Tetraodontiformes; Molidae.
CCCUGUAUCGAAAGUGAUCGAGGCAUCUUUGUAGCCAGGUCAUUGAUAGUACAGGAAGAAGAAACUGCGAGCCUUUCCCGUGUUUGAAGGAUUGUCUGUUCCUCUCAAACCCUGGUGCUCCCAGACA